AAUCAACGCUGGCGGCGUGCCUCAGACAUGCAAGUCGAACGAUUAAAGCUCUCUUCGGAGAGUGCAUAGAGUGGCGCACGGGUGAGUAACACGUAAGUAAUCUACCUUCGAGUGGGGAAUAACGUCCGGAAACGGACGCUAAUACCGCAUAAUGCAGCGGCAUCGCAAGAUGACAGUUGUUAAAGGAGCAAUUCGCUUGAAGAGGAGCUUGCGGCAGAUUAGCUAGUUGGUAAGGUAAUGGCUUACCAAGGCUACGAUCUGUAACCGGUCUAAGAGGACGGUCGGUCACACUGACACUGAAUAACGGGUCAGACUCCUACGGGAGGCAGCAGUCGGGAAUUUUGGGCAAUGGGCGAAANCCUGACCCA
RNAcentral lists this ribosomal RNA (368 nucleotides) under uncultured bacterium. RNAcentral describes it as "bacterial SSU rRNA". It matches the Rfam family "Bacterial small subunit ribosomal RNA", at positions 32 to 390 of the family's 1533-position model. The record is from RNAcentral.